AUAUUUUGCAACACAAUGUGUUUGAGUCAAAAAUUUUGUUUAAAUUUAUGUGGUUCUCACUAGUCACUUGUCACUUUGUUAAUUUAAGUUUACAUUACGUCCUUUAAAAUAUCUCGGUUUCUAAUUAUUGUGUCGAUUUUAUAAAUGAUGAAGCAAAGGUUCCCUUUCGUUUUUUCGAUGAAAUCUGUAUACUUAAACGUCGAGUUAAACGUCUGCUACGCCUCUAUUUCGUUAAAAUCAGUGAAAUGCCAAUCAAAUGAGAAAUUGAAUCAAUUUGGUACAUGUUUGCAAAUAAUUUGACUCUUGCUUUUUCUGACCUUCGUGCUUAUUUUACUAAUGUGGUAAGGACAGUCACAGAUCAUGUGAAACUUGCGAUCUAAGGGAGAGACAUAAACACAAAGCUUCCUUGUCUGGAGAAAUAGCAUCUACUUUGCCAGACCCAAUAGUCAGCAUUGUAGAAACUGCACAAGAAUACUGGCAAGGGCCUAAAGAAGUGGUGUCUAGUAGUAAGCAGGAUCCCAAAUACACAUUAGAAAAAUUAAAAAAUAGUGCACAAGGAAUACCAAAUAAAUCCAAAAAAGGUUUGAGGCAUGUAUCCAGAGUUAAAAAUAAAAAAAGAAAAUAAGAAGAAAUCAUAGGUAUCUCCAAGUAACACUCCAUACAGCUGCAUAAUAAAGAUUUCUUCAAAAACAUGAAUUAUAUGGUUCCCUGUAUCAAUUGUAAAAUGUGGGUACCUACUAGUCAGCAGCAUGUUUACAAUGCUACAAAUAUGAAUCUCGAUAUUGGUUCAAUCAUUGAAGACUGGACUCCAAGGCUCAAGGGGUUACACAUAAUGAUCGCAUUUGCCAAGAACUCGUCAACCUGUUGUUGAUCAAAGCCUCCAAUAGGAAUGAGCCUUAUCCUGGUGGACUGCAAGAUUAUCAUACUUCAGUAUUUUGUUCUUGUGCCAAAAAUAUCAAAGCCUGCCAGUUAUAACAUUAUUUCUUGCUAUAGCCCAAGUAUCUAAUAUCUGCUGGCAAAAAGCCCACAUUCAGAAACUGUCAAAUCCCCCAGCAAUUGCGAAAAUUGAUAAAAAAUCUGGAAAUGGACUUAGCUCUACAGAUGAACCUGCAAGUCCAUCUAGCAGCGAACUCGAUUGUGAUACACAAGAUUGUAAUGAAUUAGAAAUAUAAAUAUAAAUGGUUAUAGCCGUACACUGGACUCAUCAAA
This is a long non-coding RNA of Nymphalis io (European peacock), 1209 nucleotides long. RefSeq lists it as uncharacterized. The transcript is spliced from 7 exons. Lineage: Eukaryota; Metazoa; Arthropoda; Insecta; Lepidoptera; Nymphalidae. The record is from RefSeq and is a predicted model, not a curated record.